ACAGCACACAGGGAACAGCAGUGAUGGGCAGUAACGCGUUAGAAGUAACGCGUUACUGUAAUCCAAUUACUUUUUUCAAGUAACGAGUAAAGUAAGGGAUUAC
Long non-coding RNA from Alosa sapidissima (American shad), 103 nucleotides. RefSeq lists it as uncharacterized. NCBI's taxonomy places the organism in Eukaryota, Metazoa, Chordata, Actinopteri, Clupeiformes, Clupeidae. The record is from RefSeq and is a predicted model, not a curated record. The transcript is spliced from 3 exons.